AGCUAAAUAGUUUAAUCUAAAACAUUAGUUUUGUAAACUAAAAUUAUCUCAUAAGUUUUUAGCUU
RNAcentral lists this transfer RNA (65 nucleotides) under Evania appendigaster. RNAcentral describes it as "tRNA-Thr". It matches the Rfam family "tRNA". Rfam says of the family: Transfer RNA (tRNA) molecules are approximately 80 nucleotides in length. Their secondary structure includes four short double-helical elements and three loops (D, anti-codon, and T loops). Further hydrogen bonds mediate the characteristic L-shaped molecular structure. tRNAs have two regions of fundamental functional importance: the anti-codon, which is responsible for specific mRNA codon recognition, and the 3' end, to which the tRNAs corresponding amino acid is attached (by aminoacyl-tRNA synthetases). tRNAs cope with the degeneracy of the genetic code in two manners: having more than one tRNA (with a specific anti-codon) for a particular amino acid; and 'wobble' base-pairing, i.e. permitting non-standard base-pairing at the 3rd anti-codon position. Lineage: Eukaryota; Metazoa; Arthropoda; Insecta; Hymenoptera; Evaniidae. The record is from RNAcentral.